AAGUCGUAACAAGGUCUCCGUAGGUGAACCUGCGGAGGGAUCAUUACCGAGUGGAGGGCGCUCCGGCGCCCGACCUCCCAACCCUUUGAUUUGAUCAAGACCUCCUUCUGCCUCGGGGGCGAACCCGGCCUUCGGGCGGCGGUCCCCCCCGGCGGUACCCAACCUCAAACCCUGCAUCAAUUGUCGUCUGAGCAUUGAAGCGAAUUCAAUCAAAACUUUUCAACAACGGAUCUCUUGGUUCUGGCAUCGAUGAAGAACGCAGCGAAAUGCGAUAAGUAAUGUGAAUUGCAGAAUUCAGUGAAUCAUCGAAUCUUUGAACGCACAUUGCGCCCUUUGGCAUUCCGAAGGGCAUGCCUGUUCGAGCGUCAUUACACCAAUCAAGCCUGGCUUGGUAUUGGGCGACGGGGCCGUCACACGCCCCGCGCCCCAAUGACCCCCGGCGGGACGGACCGAAUCUCAGCGUUGUGAAUCCAAAGCCGCUGGCGAGACGGGACGGCCGUGCCGUUAAACAACCCCCAUCACAAGGUUGACCUCGGAUCAGGUAGGGAUACCCGCUGAACUUAAA
Molecule: ribosomal RNA, 565 nt
Filed under: uncultured fungus
Lineage: Eukaryota; Fungi
Description: eukaryotic LSU rRNA
Rfam family: 5.8S ribosomal RNA (bases 215-368)
Source: RNAcentral